Molecule: ribosomal RNA, 92 nt
Filed under: uncultured bacterium
Lineage: Bacteria
Description: partial 16S ribosomal RNA
Rfam family: Bacterial small subunit ribosomal RNA
Source: RNAcentral
CCCGUCACAUCAUGAAAGCCGGUUGUACCCGAAGUCCGCAGGCAAACUCGCAAGAGGCGCAGCGGCCGAAGGUAUGGCUGGUGAUUGGGAUG